RNAcentral lists this ribosomal RNA (253 nucleotides) under uncultured bacterium. Its description in RNAcentral is "partial 16S ribosomal RNA". It matches the Rfam family "Bacterial small subunit ribosomal RNA", at positions 524 to 776 of the family's 1533-position model. The record is from RNAcentral.
UACGAAGGGUGCAAGCGUUAAUCGGAAUUACUGGGCGUAAAGCGCGCGUAGGUGGUUCAGUAAGUUGGAUGUGAAAUCCCCGGGCUCAACCUGGGAACUGCAUCCAAAACUGCUGAGCUAGAGUACGGUAGAGGGUGGUGGAAUUUCCUGUGUAGCAGUGAAAUGCGUAGAUAUAGGAAGGAACACCAGUGGCGAAGGCGACCACCUGGACUGAUACUGACACUGAGGUGCGAAAGCGUGGGGAGCAAACAGG